This 381-nucleotide ribosomal RNA is filed under the name uncultured bacterium. RNAcentral describes it as "bacterial SSU rRNA". It matches the Rfam family "Bacterial small subunit ribosomal RNA", at positions 103 to 507 of the family's 1533-position model. The record is from RNAcentral.
CGGGUGAGUAACACGUGGGUGAUCUACCCCAAAGUCUGGGACAACUAGGGGGAAACCUUAGCUAAUCCCGGAUGGUGAGGCUUCUCCUGUGAAGUCUCUAAAGAUUUAUCGCUUUGGGAUGAGCCCGCGGCGCAUCAGCUAGUUGGUGGGGUAAUGGCCUACCAAGGCGACGACGCGUAGCUGGUCUGAGAGGACGACCAGCCACAGGAGCACUGAGACACGGGCUCCACUCCUACGGGAGGCAGCAGUUAGGAAUCUUCGUCAAUGGGCGAAAGCCUGAACGAGCGACGCCGCUUGAGGGACGAAGCCCUUCGGGGUGUAAACCUCUGAACAGGGGACGAUGAUGACGGUACCCUGCUAAUAGCACCGGCUAACUCCGUG